Molecule: ribosomal RNA, 433 nt
Filed under: uncultured bacterium
Lineage: Bacteria
Description: partial 16S ribosomal RNA
Rfam family: Bacterial small subunit ribosomal RNA
Source: RNAcentral
AACGAACGCUGGCGGCAUGCCUAACACAUGCAAGUCGAACGAGACCUUCGGGUCUAGUGGCGCACGGGUGCGUAACGCGUGGGAACCUGCCCUUAGGUUCGGAAUAACUCCCCGAAAGGUGUGCUAAUACCGGAUAAUGUCUUCGGACCAAAGAUUUAUCGCCUUUGGAUGGGCCCGCGUUGGAUUAGCUAGUUGGUAGGGUAAAAGCCUACCAAGGCGACGAUCCAUAGCUGGUCUGAGAGGAUGAUCAGCCACACUGGGACUGAGACACGGCCCAGACUCCUACGGGAGGCAGCAGUAGGGAAUAUUGGACAAUGGGCGAAAGCCUGAUCCAGCAAUGCCGCGUGAGUGAUGAAGGCCUUAGGGUUGUAAAGCUCUUUUACCCGGGAUGAUAAUGACAGUACCGGGAGAAUAAGCUCCGGCUAACUCCGUG